GACGAACGCUGGCGGCGUGCUUAACACAUGCAAGUCGAACGGUGAAGUGCCUUCCUUUUUGGUGGGCGUGGAUGAGUGGCGAACGGGUGAGUAACACGUUAGUAACCUGCCCCCUUCUUCUGGAUAACCGCAUGAAAGUGUGGCUAAUACGGGAUAUUCUGGGUCUGUCGCAUGAUGGGUCUGGGAAAGAUAUUGUUUCGGUGGGGGAUGGGCUCGCGGCCUAUCAGCUUGUUGGUGGGGUGAUGGCCUACCAAGGCGGUGACGGGUAGCCGGCCUGAGAGGGUGGACGGUCACGCUGGGACUGAGACACGGCCCAGACUCCUACGGGAGGCAGCAGUGGGGAAUAUUGCACAGUGGGCGCAAGCCUGAUGCAGCGACGCCGCGUGAGGGAUGGAGGCCUUCGGGUUGUGAACCUCUUUCGCCAGUGAAGCAGGCCUGCCUCGUUUGUGGGUGGGUUGACGGUAGCUGGAUAAGAAGCGCCGGCUAACUACGUG
This 494-nucleotide ribosomal RNA is filed under the name uncultured bacterium. Its description in RNAcentral is "partial 16S ribosomal RNA". It matches the Rfam family "Bacterial small subunit ribosomal RNA", at positions 28 to 507 of the family's 1533-position model. The record is from RNAcentral.